AGCGAACGCUGGCGGCGUGCCUAACACAUGCAAGUCGAACGGUUCUGUUGGGGGCUUGCUCUCGACAGAGUAGUGGCAAACGGGUGAGUAACACGUGGGUAAUCUUCCUUCGAGUGAGGAAUAACUUCGGGAAACCGGAGCUAAUACCGCAUAACAUCUUGGAACGGCAGUUCUAAGAUCAAAGGGGGCGCAAGCUCCCGCUUGAAGUUGAGCUCGCGUCCUAUCAGCUAGUUGGUGAGGUAAUGGCUCACCAAGGCUCCGACGGGUAGCCGGCCUGAGAGGGUGGCCGGCCACACUGGGACUGAGACACGGCCCAGACUCCUACGGGAGGCAGCAGUGGGGAAUAUUGCGCAAUGGACGAAAGUCUGACGCAGCGACGCCGCGUGGGUGAUGAAGGCCUCGGUCGUAAGACCUCGUUGUAGGAGGAGAAGACGUACUGUCGGUUAAUUAACCGGUCCACGGUGGUGGUAGUAGUAAUACCCUUACGAGGAAAGACGACCGGCCGUAACCUAACCGU
RNAcentral lists this ribosomal RNA (517 nucleotides) under uncultured bacterium. RNAcentral's name for it is "bacterial SSU rRNA". It matches the Rfam family "Bacterial small subunit ribosomal RNA", at positions 29 to 487 of the family's 1533-position model. The record is from RNAcentral.